AGUGAACGCUGGCGGUAUGCCUAAUACAUGCAAGUCGAACGGCAGCACAGUAAGAUCUUUCCUCUACCGGUGGCGAGUGGCGGACGGGUAAGGAAUACAUCGGAAUCUACUUUUACUUGGGGGACAACGUAGAGAAACUUACGCUAAUACCUCAUACGAUCUACGGGUUAAAUCAGUAGUUCUUCGGACUUUUCGCGUUACAUUUAGAUGAUGUCGGAUUAGCUAGUUGGCUGGGUAAAGGCCCACCAAGGCGACGAUCCGUAGCUGGUCUGAGAGGAUGAUCAGCCACACUGGAACUGAGACACGGUCCAGACUCCUACGGGAGGCAGCAGUGGGGAAUAUUGGACAAUGGGCGCAAGCUUGAUCCAGCAAUACCGCGUGAGUGAAGAAGGUCUUCGGGUUGUAAAGCCCUUUUGUUGGGAAAGAAAAACAGUAUGUUAAUACCUCGAUGUUCUGACGGUACCUAAAGAAUAAGCAACGGCUAACUUCGUG
RNAcentral lists this ribosomal RNA (492 nucleotides) under uncultured bacterium. RNAcentral describes it as "partial 16S ribosomal RNA". It matches the Rfam family "Bacterial small subunit ribosomal RNA", at positions 29 to 507 of the family's 1533-position model. The record is from RNAcentral.